AACGAACGCUGGCGGCGUGCCUAACACAUGCAAGUCGAACGCGAAAAGCAGUAAUGCUGAGUAGAGUGGCGCACGGGUGAGUAACACGUAAAUGACAUGUCCUCGAGACGGGAAUAACCAGCCGAAAGGCUGGCUAAUACCCGGUAAGCCCACGUCUUUGGAGAUGAGGGAAAAGGGUCGGGAAUUUUCGAAUCCGAUCGCUUGAGGAGUGGUUUGCGGCCCAUCAGGUAGUUGGCGAGGUAAAAGCUCACCAAGCCUAAGACGGGUAGCUGGUCUGAGAGGAUGAUCAGCCACACUGGAACUGAGACACGGUCCAGACUCCUACGGGAGGCAGCAGUGGGGAAUCUUGCGCAAUGGGAGCAAUCCUGACGCAGCAACGCCGCGUGGGUGAUGAAGGUCUUCGGAUCGUAAAGCCCUGUCGGAGGGGAAGAUGCUUGGAACGUCUAAUAGAUGAGCCAGGUGACGGUACCCUCAAAAGG
RNAcentral lists this ribosomal RNA (479 nucleotides) under uncultured bacterium. RNAcentral describes it as "bacterial SSU rRNA". It matches the Rfam family "Bacterial small subunit ribosomal RNA", at positions 29 to 488 of the family's 1533-position model. The record is from RNAcentral.